CCUUCUUUCCAGCCAUCUCCCCUCCUCAGAACAGCCCUCGUCCCCUGAAAGGGCAGUCUGACUCAGCCCCAGCGGCCGCCCCGCCCCUCCUACAGGUCCUCCCUUUGCCCUUGAAAUGGAAGACAAGGCAGCAAGGAUCCGGCCGCACCUCACGCAGUGCCCAGCCUGCUGGCAGCCAGAGCCCUGCAGAGCAGGACAGGCAGAACUACCACGCCCCACAGAGGGAAGACUAGCAUCCUUCAUUCCAGACAAAAGGAACUACAGAAACUUAUCAGACCACCUGAGAGCAAAGAGGGUUAUUCAUCUACCCAGCCUUCCACUCACCAGGGUUUUGCAAGCCCCCACUGAGCUCCAGGAACUAUGCCAAGUUCACUGCUAG
Molecule: long non-coding RNA, 379 nt
Filed under: Capra hircus (goat)
Lineage: Eukaryota; Metazoa; Chordata; Mammalia; Artiodactyla; Bovidae
Description: lncRNA (ENSCHIG00000004006.1)
Source: RNAcentral